AAAAUCUCAACUGAUUUAGAAGAGAAGCAUUUAUUAGAUAAAAAACCAAUAUAUGUUUUUAAAGCAUAUAAGUUGGUGAUUUAGAAUAACUAAGCAAAUCGCACAGUGUAAACUGGCGAUAAAUCAUUCAAGUUUCUGACCUAUCAGCUUUCGACGGUAAGGUAUUGGCUUACCGUGGCAGUGACGGUUAACGGGGAAUUAGGGUUCAAUUCCGGAGAGGGAGCCUGAGAAACGGCUACCACAUCUAAGGAAGGCAGCAGGCGCGCAAAUUACCCAAUUCUAAUAGCAUAAGAGAGGUAGUGACAAGAAAUAACAGUACAAGGCAGAUAAAAUGCUUUGUAAUUGGAAUGAUAGAAAUUUAAAUACUUUUUAAAGUAUCAAUUGGAGGGCAAGUCUGGUGCCAGCAGCCGCGGUAAUUCCAGCUCCAAUAGCGUAUAUUAAAAUUGUUGCAGUUAAAAAGCUCGUAGUUGAAUUUUUGCUAAAAAUAACCGGUCUGCUUUUAUUAAUAAAAGUGGUAUCUUGGUGUGUUUUUAGCAAUAAUGUCCUUUGAAAUGUGUUUUACUUUAUUGUAAAUAGCAAUUUUCAGGAUUUUUACUUUGAGAAAAUUAGAGUGUUUCAAGCAGGCUAACGUUUUGAAUACUGCAGCA
RNAcentral lists this ribosomal RNA (647 nucleotides) under Hepatozoon sp. RNAcentral's name for it is "SSU rRNA". It matches the Rfam family "Eukaryotic small subunit ribosomal RNA", at positions 174 to 809 of the family's 1831-position model. The record is from RNAcentral. Lineage: Eukaryota; Apicomplexa; Hepatozoidae.